GAAGAAGAAGCCAUCUUGUUUUGACAUGUGUAAGGGAUGUGACAAUGUGGUCUACAAACAUCUCCCUCCAUCGCUGUUGAGCCUUCAAGAAGCUGCGUUGAUAACAUAAUCCAGCAGACUCCUGUAGGCUUGGAUCAGUUUUGUCGUCUGAAUCUGACAUGCCGACUCUUUCCCGUGCCGCCAACUUUCGGCGAUAGAGAUGUGGCGCUUUGCGUUCUCGACCUGGCCGUGGAGCAUGAGGUGGAAGGAAUGUUCCAGACAGAUCUGGAGGAGGUAAACAACAAUUCAGCAGGAGGGGCCGCCGUGUGUGACACAGUUGUGCACAGCGGUGGAGGGGGCGUACCAGCAGACAAAGCCUUGUGGAUCGGUGAAAGCCCGUUUCUCUUUUUGGCUCUGAAAACAACAUUAUUGCAUCGACAAGACCGCAUGACAACACCACGCUGCCCCCUGCAGGUUGAACCUGGAAGCAGUGUGAAACUGCAACGUGUACAGUAAUAUUUGUCCCACAUGCCUCAUGUAAACAGAUUUUCUCAUGUACGUUUCUAAUAAAGAGAAGAUUAUUGUUUCAUAUCAGGGAGAUGGUGGACGUUUUCUAAGGAUCCAUCCAUCCAUUUCCUACCGCUUGUCCCUUUUGGGGUCGCGGGGGUUGCUGGAGCCUAUCUCAGCUGCAUUCGGGCGGAAGGUGGCGUACACCCUGGACAAGUCGCCACCUCAUCGUAGGGCCAACACAGAUAGACAGACAACAUUCACACUCACAUUCACACCCUAGGAUCCAAUCAAUUUAUCCCCAGGUGUAUGUGUUUGGACGUGGGAGGAAUUAAACCGGAGUACCCGGAGGGAACCCACGCAGUCACGGGGAGAACAUGCAAAGUCCACACAGAAAGAUCCUAAGCCCGGGAUUGAACUCAGGACUACUCAGGACCUUUGUAAUGUGAGUCACAUGCACUAACCCCUGCCCCACCAUGCUGAGGAUGUUAACAUAUAAAAAUAACAACACAAUUCCAUAGGUGAAGGCUGUUUUUUUCUUUGGAGCCUUUUAGCUUGAUGACUAUUGAAAUAUUAAAAAUUACCCCUAGACCUUUAAUUGAUGGAAAAAGUUUGGACGCCACUAUCGUGGUUAUAUUUGUGUCUUAACUACAAUGUAUUAUUUUGGACAUUUAUGUAACAUAAUUUUUUUCCUUACAAUUCUGUGAUUUAAAUUUUUUUCAUCAAAUAAUGCUGACUAUUUCAUCGAAUACAAAUUUU
Molecule: long non-coding RNA, 1245 nt
Organism: Nerophis ophidion (straightnose pipefish)
Lineage: Eukaryota; Metazoa; Chordata; Actinopteri; Syngnathiformes; Syngnathidae
Exons: 4
Source: RefSeq, a predicted model, not a curated record